GCUAAGGUCCCAAAUCAUAUCUAAGUGGGAAAGGAGGUGGAGAUUCUUAAACAACUAGGAGGUUGGCUUAGAAGCAGCCAUUCCUUGAAAGAGUGCGUAAUAGCUCACUAGUCGAGAGUCUCUGCGCCGACAAUGUAACGGGGCUAAGAUAUGAACCGAAGCUGUGGAUGUCGUAAGACAUGGUAGGAGAGCGUUCUGUAGGCCGU
RNAcentral lists this ribosomal RNA (206 nucleotides) under Fusobacterium necrophorum. Its description in RNAcentral is "partial 23S ribosomal RNA". It matches the Rfam family "Bacterial large subunit ribosomal RNA", at positions 1038 to 1251 of the family's 2925-position model. Lineage: Bacteria; Fusobacteriati; Fusobacteriota; Fusobacteriia; Fusobacteriales; Fusobacteriaceae. The record is from RNAcentral.